AAAUUGAAGAGUUUGAUCAUGGCUCAGAUUGAACGCUGGCGGCAGGCCUAACACAUGCAAGUCGAGCGGCAGCGGAAAGAGCUUGCUCUUUGCCGGCGAGCGGCGGACGGGUGAGUAAUGUCUGGGAAACUGCCUGAUGGAGGGGGAUAACUACUGGAAACGGUAGCUAAUACCGCAUAACGUCGCAAGACCAAAGAGGGGGACCUUCGGGCCUCUUGCCAUCAGAUGUGCCCAGAUGGGAUUAGCUAGUAGGUGGGGUAACGGCUCACCUAGGCGACGAUCCCUAGCUGGUCUGAGAGGAUGACCAGCCACACUGGAACUGAGACACGGUCCAGACUCCUACGGGAGGCAGCAGUGGGGAAUAUUGCACAAUGGGCGCAAGCCUGAUGCAGCCA
Molecule: ribosomal RNA, 395 nt
Filed under: Lelliottia nimipressuralis
Lineage: Bacteria; Pseudomonadati; Pseudomonadota; Gammaproteobacteria; Enterobacterales; Enterobacteriaceae
Description: bacterial SSU rRNA
Rfam family: Bacterial small subunit ribosomal RNA
Source: RNAcentral